Molecule: ribosomal RNA, 404 nt
Filed under: Actinomycetes bacterium
Lineage: Bacteria; Bacillati; Actinomycetota; Actinomycetes
Description: Actinobacteria bacterium partial 16S ribosomal RNA
Rfam family: Bacterial small subunit ribosomal RNA
Source: RNAcentral
UGGGGAAUAUUGGACAAUGGGCGCAAGCCUGAUCCAGCCAUGCCGCGUGAGUGAUGAAGGCCCUAGGGUUGUAAAGCUCUUUCACCGGUGAAGAUAAUGACGGUAACCGGAGAAGAAGCCCCGGCUAACUUCGUGCCAGCAGCCGCGGUAAUACGAAGGGGGCUAGCGUUGUUCGGAUUUACUGGGCGUAAAGCGCACGUAGGCGGACUAUUUAGUCAGGGGUGAAAUCCCGGGGCUCAACCCCGGAACUGCCUUUGAUACUGGUAGUCUUGAGUUCGAGAGAGGUGAGUGGAAUUCCGAGUGUAGAGGUGAAAUUCGUAGAUAUUCGGAGGAACACCAGUGGCGAAGGCGGCUCACUGGAUCGAUACUGACGCUGAGGUGCGAAAGCGUGGGGAGCAAACAGG